This 251-nucleotide ribosomal RNA is filed under the name uncultured prokaryote. Its description in RNAcentral is "partial 16S rRNA". It matches the Rfam family "Bacterial small subunit ribosomal RNA", at positions 525 to 775 of the family's 1533-position model. The record is from RNAcentral.
ACGGAGGAUGCAAGCGUUAUCCGGAAUCAUUGGGUGUAAAGGGCUCGCAGGCGGAUUGAUAAGUCAGUGGUGAAAUCCUACGGCUCAACUGUAGAACUGCCGUGGGUACUGGCGGACUAGAGUACAGUUGAAGAGGGCGGAAUUCCUGGUGUAGCGGUAGAAUGCGCAGAUAUCAGGAGGAACACCGAUGGCGAAGGCAGGUCUCUGAGCAUUAACUGACGCUCAGGAGCGAAAGCAUGGGGAUCGAACAG